GGUUUAAUUCGAUGAUACGCGAGGAACCUUACCUGGGCUCGAACGUAAGAUGACUGUAGGUGAAAGCUUACAUCUCUUCGGAGCAUUUUACGAGGUGCUGCAUGGUUGUCGUCAGCUCGUGCCGUGAGGUGUCGGGUUAAGUCCCAAUAACGAGCGCAACCCCUACCUUUAGUUGCCAUCAGGUUAAGCUGGGGACUCUAAAGGAACUGCCUACGCAAGUAGUGAGGAAGGCGGGGAUGACGUCAAAUCAGCACGGCCCUUACGUCCAGGGCUACACACGUGCUACAAUGGCCGAUACAGAGGGCAGCUACCUGGUGACAGGAUGCAAAUCUCCAAAGUCGGUCUCAGUUCGGAUCGGAGUCUGCAACCCGACUCCGUGAAGUUGGAUUCGCUAGUAAUCGCAGAUCAGCCAAGCUGCGGUGAAUACGUUCCCGGGCCUU
Molecule: ribosomal RNA, 440 nt
Filed under: uncultured Sphingobacteriales bacterium
Lineage: Bacteria; Pseudomonadati; Bacteroidota; Sphingobacteriia; Sphingobacteriales
Description: bacterial SSU rRNA
Rfam family: Bacterial small subunit ribosomal RNA
Source: RNAcentral